Callorhinus ursinus (northern fur seal) is the source of this 337-nucleotide non-coding RNA. Lineage: Eukaryota; Metazoa; Chordata; Mammalia; Carnivora; Otariidae. The record is from RefSeq and is a predicted model, not a curated record.
UUCACAACCCAAAGAAGUUUAAGGACCACCACAUUAGAUUAUCCAUCUACUGGUUUACAUGGAAAGAACAGGUCUUUGAAAGGCACAUCCUUAACUAAGACAAAAUGGAAGUAGAAAAAUGGAAAAUGGGACAAAGAAGAGAGCAAGAGAAUAGAAGAUGUGGAAGAAGAAUGCUGCUGGGGACCUGCCCCCACUGAUGACAUCAGAAUCUCUGGGGGGCGGGGCAAGGCCAACAGGAUUUUGGAAAAAUUCCUCAGAUGUGAAGCCAGGGCUGACACCACUCAGCCUCCGCAGAGAGAAGUGGAGAGCGCAGACAAGGAAACUAAAUAAAGAAAAA